This 1139-nucleotide ribosomal RNA is filed under the name Leptopilina clavipes. RNAcentral describes it as "SSU rRNA". It matches the Rfam family "Eukaryotic small subunit ribosomal RNA", at positions 3 to 1077 of the family's 1831-position model. The record is from RNAcentral. Lineage: Eukaryota; Metazoa; Arthropoda; Insecta; Hymenoptera; Figitidae.
CCUGGUUGAUCCUGCCAGUAGUCAUAUGCUUGUCUCAAAGAUUAAGCCAUGCAUGUCUAAGUGCAUGCCAAAUUAAGGUGAAACCGCGAAUGGCUCAUUAAAUCAGUUAUGGUUCCUUAGAUCGUACCCACAUUUACUUGGAUAACUGUGGUAAUUCUAGAGCUAAUACAUGCAAACCAGAGUUCCGACCAGAGAUGGAAGGAACGCUUUUAUUAGAUCAAAACCAAUCGGUGGCGGGCUUUGCUCGUCCACCGUUUACUUUGGUGACUCUGAAUAACUUUGUGCUGAUCGCACGGUCUCGUACCGGCGACGCAUCUUUUAAAUGUCUGCCUUAUCAACUGUCGAUGGUAGGUUCUGCGCCUACCAUGGUUGUAACGGGUAACGGGGAAUCAGGGUUCGAUUCCGGAGAGGGAGCCUGAGAAACGGCUACCACAUCCAAGGAAGGCAGCAGGCGCGCAAAUUACCCACUCCCGGCACGGGGAGGUAGUGACGAAAAAUAACGAUACGGGACUCAUCCGAGGCCCCGUAAUCGGAAUGAGUACACUUUAAAUCCUUUAACGAGGAUCAAUUGGAGGGCAAGUCUGGUGCCAGCAGCCGCGGUAAUUCCAGCUCCAAUAGCGUAUAUUAAAGUUGUUGCGGUUAAAAAGCUCGUAGUUGAAUCUGUGUCGCACGCUGUCGGUUCGCCGCUCGCGGUGUUUAACUGACAUGCUCGUGAGACGUCCUACCGGUGGGCUUAGCUCCUUCGGGGGCGGUCCAACUAAUAUCCCAUCGCGGUGCUCUUUAUUGAGUGUCGAGGUGGGCCGGUACGUUUACUUUGAACAAAUUAGAGGGCUUAAAGCAGGCUAUCAUUUGCCUGAAUAUUCUGUGCAUGGAAUAAUGGAAUAGGACCUCGGUUCUAUUUUGUUGGUUUUAAGAAACCCGAGGUAAUGAUUAAUAGGGACAGAUGGGGGCAUUCGUAUUGCGACGUUAGAGGUGAAAUUCUUGGAUCGUCGCAAGACGGACAGAAGCGAAAGCAUUUGCCAAAAAUGUUUUCAUUAAUCAAGAACGAAAGUUAGAGGUUCGAAGGCGAUCAGAUACCGCCCUAGUUCUAACCAUAAACGAUGCCAGCUAGCGAUCCGCCGAAGUUCCUCCGAUGACUC